RNAcentral lists this ribosomal RNA (1520 nucleotides) under metagenome. RNAcentral's name for it is "bacterial SSU rRNA". It matches the Rfam family "Bacterial small subunit ribosomal RNA". The record is from RNAcentral.
AGAGUUUGAUUCUGGCUCAGAAUGAACGCUGGCGGCGUGCUUAACACAUGCAAGUCGUACGAGAACGUCUUAGCUUGCUAAGAUUAGUAAAGUGGCGCACGGGUGAGUAACGCGUGGGUAAUCUACCUUCGAAUCGGGGAUAACAUUGCGAAAGCGAUGCUAAUACCGGAUAAUAUCUAUGAUUCUUCGGGAUUUUAGAUCAAAGAUGGCCUCUACUUGUAAGCUAUUGUUUGAAGAUGAGUCCGCGUCCCAUUAGCUUGUUGGUGGGGUAAUGGCCUACCAAGGCAACGAUGGGUAGCUGGUCUGAGAGGAUGAUCAGCCACACUGGAACUGACACACGGUCCAGACUCCUACGGGAGGCAGCAGUGAGGAAUUUUGCGCAAUGGGGGAAACCCUGACGCAGCAACGCCGCGUGAGUGAUGAAGGCUUUCGGGUCGUAAAGCUCUGUCAAGUGGGAAGAAACUAUAUGAGGCCAAUACCUUUAUAUACUGACGGUACCACUGAAGGAAGCACCGGCUAACUCCGUGCCAGCAGCCGCGGUAACACGGGGGGUGCAAGCGUUAUUCGGAUUCACUGGGCGUAAAGAGCGCGUAGGCGGCCAGGUAAGUCAGAUGUGAAAGCCCGGGGCUCAACCCUGGAAGUGCAUCUGAAACUGCUUGGCUUGAGUAUGGGAGAGGGUAGUGGAAUUCCUGGUGUAGAGGUGAAAUUCGUAGAUAUCAGGAGGAACACCGGUGGCGAAGGCGACUACCUGGACCAAUACUGACGCUGAGGCGCGAAGGCGUGGGGAGCAAACAGGAUUAGAUACCCUGGUAGUCCACGCAGUAAACGUUGUUCACUAGGUGUAGCGGGUAUUGACCCCUGCUGUGCCGCAGCUAACGCAUUAAGUGAACCGCCUGGGAAGUACGGCCGCAAGGCUAAAACUCAAAGAAAUUGACGGGGGCCCGCACAAGCGGUGGAGCAUGUGGUUUAAUUCGACGCAACGCGAAGAACCUUACCUGGAUUUGACAUCCCGGGAAUUCUAUCGAAAGACUGAAGUGCCCUUCGGGGAACCCGGUGACAGGUGCUGCAUGGCUGUCGUCAGCUCGUGUCAUGAGAUGUUGGGUUAAGUCCCGCAACGAGCGCAACCCCUGUCUUUAGUUGCCAGCAUUAAGUUGGGGACUCUAAAGAUACCGCCCCGGUUAACGGGGAGGAAGGUGGGGAUGACGUCAAGUCCUCAUGGCCUUAUGUCCAGGGCUACACACGUGCUACAAUGGGCUGUACAGAGGGUAGCGAUGCCGCGAGGUGGAGCCAAUCCCAAAAAGCAGUCCCAAGUUCGGAUUGGAGUCUGCAACUCGACUCCAUGAAGUUGGAAUCGCUAGUAAUCGCGGAUCAGCAUGCCGCGGUGAAUACGUUCCCGGGCCUUGUACACACCGCCCGUCACACCAUGAGAGUUGAUUGUACCGGAAGUUGUUGGGCCAACCUUUCGAGGAGGCAGGCACCUAUGGUAUGAUUGAUGAUUGGGGUGAAGUCGUAACAAGGUA